CUUGCGUGGAAGGAUUUGAACCCAAAUCUCGUACGAAUUGGAGUGAAGGGUGUGCUAGAAGGAGUCCAUUGAAUUGCACACAGGACAUCUUUCAGAAUUUUAUAGGGCUUAAGUUGCCGGAUACAUCCCUUUCCUGGUAUGAUACAAGCAUGAGUCUAGUAGAAUGCAAGGACAAGUGUCUAAAAAACUGCAAUUGCACGGCAUAUGCAAAUUCAAAUAUCACAGGAGAAGGCAGUGGCUGCAUACUCUGGUUUGGUGAAUUGGUUGAUAUGAGAGAGUUUAGUUAUGGGGGCCAAGACCUCUACAUAAGGAUGCCACCACCUUUGAAAACAGGUAUUUUUCAAUAUUCUUCCCAUGAUUCUCAAGCAGGUUAUUUUUUUUCACUCUUUCCCUCUGUUUCUUUUUUUUUUUUUUUUGAAAUGAAGAAGUUGUAUGUUCCUUAAAUGGUUUCCUAACUUCGUGUCCUCAUUUCCUCAUUCUAUUUACAAAUAAAACAGAACUCCUUUCUCUGUUUAUUGUGGGUUUUCAGAUCAGACGACGUCAAACACAAAUUCUGGUAAGAAGAAGCUUUUAGGAAUCAUACUCGGUUCCACACUCCUUGCUGGAGUGCUUAUGGUAGGACUAACCUUCUAUAUAUGGAGAAAGAAGCAGAGAAAGCAAGGUAGUGUACUUUGGACAAUUCUUCUUAUUCCAGAACAUGGACCUUGUUGAUAUAUAUAGUAUGCAUGGUAGAUUACUACUAUUGUAGAAUUUUAUGUUAGUCAUCGAUAACAAAAUGAAGAAUUUGUUAGAUCAUGCUGUUAGUCAAUUAGCUUUGAUAAGGAGAAGCUGUUCGUUUAUCAUUGCUGACAACUGAUCAAUCUUCUGCUAUUCAGAAAUAGAGGAAGACAUGGAGUUACCAUCGUUUCAUUUGGCCACCAUAGUGAAAGCAACGGAUAACUUUUCAAGCAACAACAAGUUGGGACAAGGUGGUUUUGGACCGGUAUAUAAGGUAUAUAACAACGUGCUUCAAAGCAGAGUGAUCAUCUACUAUGAGAUAUUCUAACUUCAGUAAAUAACAAUUCCCAGGGUACAUUGAUUGAUGGGCAAGAAAUAGCAGUGAAAAGACUUUCAAAAAGUUCUCGGCAAGGAUUGACAGAGUUCAAGAAUGAAGUUAUCUUGAUAGCUAAGCUUCAGCACAGAAAUCUUGUUAAACUUCUUGGCUGUUGCAUUCAAGGAGAUGAAGUAAUGUUGAUCUAUGAAUUCAUGCCCAACAAAAGCUUAGAUUGUUUUAUUUUCGGUUUGUACCCCAAGAACUGGUUAGAGUUUCUUGCAGUUAGAUUGCUUGUUCUAUGAUGUUUCAUUUAUACAUCAGAAUAACAUAACAUUAUGAUAAAUUGAUUAGAUCAAACAAGAAACAAAUUCCUGGACUGGCAGAGACGUAACCUCAUUAUCGGUGGCAUUGCUAGAGGACUACUUUAUCUUCAUCAAGACUCUAGACUAAGGAUUAUCCAUAGAGAUCUCAAAGCCAGCAACAUAUUAUUAGAUAAGGAUAUGAACCCCAAAAUUUCAGAUUUCGGAAUGGCUAGACUGUUUGGAGGAGAUCAAAUUGAAGCAGACACAAAUAAAGUGGUCGGAACAUAGUAAGUACACUCUACACCUAUUUUGUUACAAUGUAUAAUCUCCUCACAUUUAAACUUUUUCUGAUAAUGUUUUUCCGCAGUGGAUACAUGUCCCCUGAGUACGUUGUUGAUGGGCGUUUCUCACUGAAAUCCGACGUCUUCAGCUUCGGUGUUUUAGUCUUGGAGAUAAUAAGUGGGAAGAAAAAUAGAGGAUUCUCCCACCCGGAUCACUACCAUAAUCUUCUUGGACAUGUAAGGAUAAAAUUAAACAUGUUAAUUUAAUUAUGUAUUGACAAUUUUUAUCAUAACAAGUUUUUGUUUUCAAGGCAUGGAAACUGUGGACGGAAGAGAGGGCAUUGGAGCUUCUUGACAAUAUGUCAGAUCGCCCGUAUUCUGUAUCUGAAGUAUUGAGAUGCAUUCAUGUGGGUCUGCUAUGCGUGCAACAAAAGCCGGAAGACAGACCAAAUAUGUCAUCUGUGGUUUUGAUGUUGGGCAGUGAGAAUUCAUUGCCUGACCCAAAGCAACCUGGUUUUUUCACGGAAAGGAAUAUGCCCGCAGUGGACUCUUCAUCAGGAAAUCAUGAAUCAUCGUCUAUAAAUGACCUAACUAUUUCAGAGCUAGAUGCACGGUAGAAGAUUGGCUCUGAUGGUUAAAAGGAAGAGCUAUAUAUAUAUAUAUAUAUGUAUGUAUAUUCUAGCCAAAUCCAAGGCAUAUAACAGAAAUUAAAUAUUUUCUGCUAUAAUUAUGUUGAUGUAUUAUUUUUACCUGUCUACAAGUCCUCUGCAAGUACUAGUGCGAAUACAGAUAGACAGAAUGCUUGAGGAUUCACAUCUCUGGACUGCACAAUAUCUGUACUUGUUUGCUUCGAGCCGUCGAAUUUAAUGCACGGAUCUGGGUUCAAGAUCUAUAUAUGCUAGAGCCUCACUGGCUUCUAACCCAAAAAGAAUCCAUUAGAAUUGUCAAUAUAUAAUUAGUAAAAAAAAAUUACAUACAAUUUAAACAAUCCAAAUUUAUAAUUCAAAUUUACAUUAUAUUUUUCAUAACAUGUUAAAAAAAUAUAUUUUUAACAACCAUACAAGGAGCUAUAGUCUUUCCUUGAUUGAUUUCAUAGCACCUUAAACUUAGCCUUGACCUAACCCUUUUAGGGAUAAAUAUUAUAGGUACGAGUACCUUGAUGAUACUUAGCCUUUGUAGGGGAAUCCGACCGGUGAUGUUUUGAUAUUUGCUCAUAGUAGGCUAAGCACACUAACACAAUAUUUAACGUGGUUCGACAAACCGCCUACAUCCACGGGAGAAACCAUUUGAUUAUAUAGGGAGAGAACAAGAUUUACAACAGUAGAGGAGGAGGAAUCAUCCCCUCUUUGGCAACUCUCAACCUCACUCUAUUUUUCUCUUCUCAAUGCUGCAUUGGCAGCUACUGCUGGCUGCCUUGGCAGCCCACUCUCUCUUACAUUUCUCUCAUAUUUGGCUCUACUUUCACUCUCAUUUUGCUCUCUAAAAUCAUGCCUCUUUUAUAGGCAUCAAUGGCAGCUCCUCUUGCUCCUUUGUCAGCAAUGGUGGCUUCCAAACUUACCAAACUUUGACAAUAGACAAUGGUUGUUGGCUGCCACCAACAACCCACCAUUAUAGCCUCAUUCUUUGACUCUCACAUAGCAGUCAUCUUCUUUGACAUAGGCAGCCACAUAAUUGGCAAUAUUCCAACAAUCACCCCCUUUGCCAUUUAUGUGGGGCAACUAUCCUCUUGCUUCUUCAGCACAUGCUUGCAUCUUGCAGCUUUUCCAAGCUUACCAUUCAACCAGAUGGUUUGUCACAUCUCAUCUGAAGAGUGUUUAAUGCUUGUCUCUGGAACAACAUUCCCCUUCAAGCAUAUCAACCAUGCUUGGCCUGGAAUGAUUUAUCAAGCCUUACAUCAAGGCUUACAACACCCCCUCAAACUGAUAUUCCCAAGUGCGAUAGUCAUUGAGUAUUUUAAUGUGAUCACGAGCUCACCACUCUUCCAAGAGCCUACUCAUCCAGGAGUUGCGUCUGCCCUCUAUUCCACCCUAGGAACCACGCCUUACUUCUCCGUGAGUCUCUCACUCUUAGUCUCAAGAGUCCGGGUAGCAUCCACCUUUACUUAUGGGGGCAGCCCAUUAAAGGUUGAUCCAUAUCUAUCUUCAUACUCUGAGUAUUACAAUGCUUUCACCGAGCUCACCACCUUGACAAGAGUCAACUUGUUCCCGGAACCUGCGCAUGCCCUCUGCUCCUUCAUAGCAGUCGCGUCUUAAUGCUCCACAAGUCACCCACUUAUUGUCCAAGGUAAAUGUCUUCUAGCUCAUUGAUCUUUAGCAUGGGGGCAAUAUCCAUGAAAGUCAAUCCUGCAUUUGUCUUCAUACUCAUCAUAGACUCUUCAUUGGCUAUACACUUGUCCACUUAUAUCCAGCCAUCAUAUUGGCUCUAGGGCUGGGCUCUUUUCAUGGCCCUCACACCUUCUCGUGAGGUGUCUCCGCUCGUCGUCAUGCGAUAGUCUGAAUCUGGGCUAAUAUUAUAGCCCUCACACCGUCCAUCCGAGGUGUCUCCGUUCAUCGUCAUGCGGCUUCAUGUCCCUCACACCUUCUCCGAAGGUGUCUUCGCCCGUUGUCAUGGGGCAGUCUGAUCUUGGGCUCAUAUCAUGGCCCUCACACCUUCUGUCUGAGGUGUCUCCGCCUAUCGUUAUGAGACGGCCUGAACAUGGACUCAUAUCAAGGUCCUCACACCUUCUGUCCAAGGUAUCUCCGCCUGUCGUCAUGAGACGGUCUGAACAUGGACCCAUAUCAUGGUCCUAACACCUUUCGUCUGAGGUGUCUCCGCCUGUUGUCAUGAGACGGUCUGAAUCUGGGCUCAUAUUAUAGCCCUCACACCUUCCAUCCGAAGUGUCUCCGCUCAUCGUGGAGCGGUCUGAAUCUAGGUUCAUAUCAUGGCCCACAAACCUUCCUCUAAGGUGUCUCUGCCCGUUGUCAUGGGACAGUCUGAUCUUGGACCCAUAUCAUGGUCCUCACACCUUCUGUCUAAGGUGUCUCUGCCUGUUGUCAUGAGACGGCCACAUCCUCCUUCAUCGGGGAUGUCUCUAGUGGCUCUAAGAUUCUCUACCACCAUGUGGACUUGGGAGAGAUUACUGCCACUGAUUACAUAGAAAGAUAAAGUUGUGGCAUACUCCUCGCAAUCCUCCACCUCGAUUUCUAUGUCUGGAGCUUCUACGCCUUUCUACUUGAUAGCUCCACCUACACCACUCUCUUUAGUGUCUUCGCCUUUCAUCAUAGGCGGUCACCUUUGUCACAGGCGUUUGCACCCCCUCAAUUAGGUGCCUCUGCAACAGCUCAUCUUUCCAUCAUUGCAUGCAUUGGAAAGGUCCUCGCUUGUUGCCUUCAUCAAGAGCACAAGAGAUUUCUUGUUGUAUAACUUUUUCACACCGUCUCUACUCUAAGCUUCAUCUGGGAACUCUUAUUCUCCUUGCACCUACUGUCUCAUUACAGUACCUCGUUGGAUCCUACGGGUACUCCUGCACAAUCUCCGUGUGCUCUCGUGCAAUUCCGGUUCUCUAGAUUUCUCCCUAUUUUUUGCUUUUAUGUUUGACAACAGCUCAUCCUGUCACAACAUUUAUCCAAGUCAAAAUAGGGUGCCAAUCUUUAUCCCCUUGUUGUAUUUCUCUUCCAUUAUCAGGGUCUUCAUUAAUUCUCCCUUCGAGAAAUUACAGUCACCGAAUCUAACUUCUUUGGAGAAAUCACCACUCCAUUAGAUCCUUGAACAUACGGAACCCAACUGUUCCUUUAUGUCGUCAUCUUGCUAGUCUUCAACAGUUUCAUUACAAACUGUUACAUAUACAAAAAUAGUACUGUGUGGAUGAUCCUUCAACUAAGCAAGUUCCCAGGAAAGAUUUGGAGGGGUCACACUGGUCCCGUGAUUAGUACUUAAAAGUGCAUGUUUAUCAAGGUUUUAUAUCAUCAUUUUGCACUUGAAGUAUCAAUAACUCCUUAACUAAAGCAUGUUUUAUAAUAACAAGUUUGAUACUAUAAGAUACCUUAAUUUAUGGUAAAUGCUCAUCUUAUAUGCAGGCCUAUCACAUAAAUAAAAUGAUUGAUUGAUGAGUUUAAGUAUUGAAAGUGAAAGGACAAAGAGAUGGCCAAACUUAGAAAAGAGAUGUCGGUGCAGUCCAAACCAGAACAUUGCUCGGUAAUUGGAUCAUAUUUGGAGCUCUAGAUCUCAGAUUUAGGUCCAUUUUAUAUGGAUGGAAAGGUAAUACAAAGGCCUACAACUUUCAUGAGGAGCCUAAGAUUUAAAAAGGUCGUUUUGAAGUCCAAAUUGAAGGAACAACGAAGAAGUCCGAAGCUGUCCUGCAGCCCAGACACUAUUUAGUGUUCAACCCAUAUCUUGAGUUCUAGAAGUCCAAAUGACCUCAUCUUUUUUUUUUUGGAAAGCUGAGACAAUUUCCUAGAACAUUCCUGAGGAUUCUGGGCAAAUUAUUAUGUUAGAAAUGACGUUUUGUUCAGACAAGAAGAUAAGGAUUGUCACCAAGUCAAGAUGUGGCCACCCACUCAUCAAUUAGUCAACAAAUCAAUAGUUCUAAAUUUUGGCCUAUAAAAGGAGGCACUUACCAUGUAUUGAGGCAUCUUGGUUUCCAGAUCAAGAUCAUGCUCUUGCUUUCUCUCUUUGUAUUGCUUAUGUCUUGCUUUCAUUAAUAUCAAGUUUAUGCACUUCAUUUUCUUUCCUUUACUUAGUUAACUUCUUUCUCAUUUAUGUUCUUAUCUUGUUCAUUUAUGUUUCUUUCUUUCAUUAUGUUCAGCUAAGUUAAUUAUGUCAAGGUGAAAAGGGUACACUAAUGGUGUAAGAAUAAGUAUAAUAUAAACUUAACAUGGACCUUAACGUUGGAUACUAACAUGUUUUAUAUUUGUUAUCUUGUUCACUUUUAAUACUUUGCUUGUUAAAUGGUUAAUCUAGAUUUAUGUUAUAUAACAUUUGGUACAACAAAUACUUGGUACUUUCAUAGCCCAUACUGUAUGGUAUAACCGACACCUGAGCUAUAAAAGGAACUUGAUUUGUUGUUAACAUAAGUUAUAAUCAUGAAUGCCUGCCAACAUUUACAAGUAUUAGCUUUAUUCGAAUAAGAUAACUAAUGUAAUCAUGUUAACAAUUUAUAAUCUGAUUGGAACCUCCUUUAUGUGUGGUUUCCAAUUGAGUAAUAAGAGUUUAUACUAUACUUGUUUGAAAUACCAUUAGUGGAUCCUCUAACCUUGACAUUUGUUGUUGUUAUUGUUUAAUCCUUACGUUAAUCUUUCAUCUCAAAGUUCUCAUUAAUUUCUUCAUCUUCUGCUUUUAUUAUUAUUAUUAUUAUUAUUAUUAUUAUUAUUAUUUACAUUCUGUUUAUAUUAUAUAAUAUAUAUCUUUGAUCUUUUCAUAAACUCAGUAUAUAGGCUGGAAACCUGUGACCCGAUCUUUUAGAUUAUUCUCAGGUAUAACAACGCCACGUACUAAGUAUUAUAAUUAUUAUUGUUGUUAUUAUUGUUGUUGUUGUUAUUGUUGUUGUAUUGUUAUUUAUAAUUUAUACAAUUAAUCUCUAUGUGGUUCGACCCCGGUUUUGCCGGGUUAUUUAUUACUUCGACACUCCUGCACUUGGGAAAAGACAUCAAGCUUUAGGUCGUGUCAAGUUUUUGGCGCCGUUGCCGGGGAGGUAAAUUCUUGUAUAAAUUAUAAUUUUUAUUUCUUUUUAUUUUUUUCAUUUUAUUUAAUUUUGUUUCUUUUCUUUUCUUGCUUUUAUUCUCUUUUUACACGUGCAUGAGAGUUUGGUCACGUAUAUUAAGUGGUCGACUUUGUAGGGUAUCCUCAUCAUUUUUAGAAAAUAUGGCUGAAGAAGAUAAUCAAUCGCUUCAUAAUGAGAAUAAUGAGAAUAACCGUAUGAGAACACUUAGAAAUCACAUGAAUCCCACAAGAACAAGUGCACCCUCAUGCAUAGUUUUCCCUUUCCUUUCCUGGUAUGAUACAAGCAUGAGGCUAGUAGAAUGCAAGGACAAGUGUCUAAAAAACUACAAUUGCACGGCAUAUGCAAAUUCAAAUAUCACAGGAGAAGGCAGUGGCUGCAUACUCUGGUUCGGUGAAUUGGCUGAUAUGAGAGAGUUUAGUUAUGGGGGCCAAGACCUCUACAUAAGGAUGCCACCA
This 7769-nucleotide long non-coding RNA is filed under the name Populus tremula. Its description in RNAcentral is "long non-coding RNA (PTRE_LNC000313)". Lineage: Eukaryota; Viridiplantae; Streptophyta; Magnoliopsida; Malpighiales; Salicaceae. The record is from RNAcentral.